GGACGGGGUCUUGUGGGGGGAGGCUGAGCUGAUUGGGGAGGGGGCACUGGGAUUUGGUGAGUUAUAACGCGUUUGGGGGAUCCCCCCCCUCCACGCUUUCAAACUAGGGAUUCUCUGGGGGCUGUGAUGCUUGUGGGGAAAAGCCAGUUUGUUUAGUUCCCCUACUUUACACCCCAAAACCUGUGAGUCUUGUGGUUAAAAGUUGAAUCUAGACACCCCCCUCCCCCAUAUGGUUGUAAAAGAAGAAUUAGAGUAAUAGUAAAACAUUUUAAAAAAUUGAAGUUGGCAAACAUACAUGGGUUUGAUUGGCUAAAAAACUAUCUCUGUGCAGAUGGGAAGCAUUAGUGUGGCCAGCGUAUAAUUAUUUUUACACAUCUAGAAUAGUAGCUAGAGUCAUUAAAGAUCCCACCUUAUGCGUUGGCAAUAAUGUAUUUAAAGAUGCAUCUGCUUAGUAGGAGAGCAUACAGUGGCUUGCUUUUCAGUCAAGGUUCCAUGGCAACUUGCCUUAGAAGAGGCAAAAGUUUAAUCAAACCCCGUCUAUGUAGAAAUAUCAGCCUCUCCUGUCAGAGAUAUACAGUUAUGACAUCGUGGAUAAUAGAGAGAUAUGGACGAAAUGAUGUGCUACGAUUUACAAAUAACAUGAUGUUCCCUGUAAUACAUUUUCCAAAUGAAGUCAUUAUUAAAGUCCAUGCUGCAAGUUUAAACCCUAUAGAUGUUAAUAUGAGAAAUGGUUAUGGAGCAGCUGCUUUAAAUAUGAAACGUGAUCCACUGAAAUUGAAAAGCACCGGGAAUGAAUUUCCUCUAACACUUGGUCGAGAUGUAUCUGGUGUAAUUAUGGAAUGUGGGCUAAAUGUGUCCUAUUUCAAACCUGGAGAUGAGGUAUGGGCAGCAAUUCCUCCCUGGAAACAAGGCACUAUAUCAGAGUUUGUUGUAGCUAGUGGAAAUGAGAUCUCUCACAAGCCCAAGUGUCUCAGUCACAUGGAAGCUGCCUCUUUACCAUAUGUCGGUCUAACAGCAUGGUCUGCAAUGAACCAAAUUGGGGGAUUGAACCAAGAUAAUUGCAGUGGGAAACGAAUAUUAAUUUUCGGCGCUUCAGGUGGAGUUGGUACCUUUGCUAUCCAGCUAAUGAAAGCUUGGGGUGGUCAUGUGACAGCCGUUUGUUCUCAGGAUGCCAGUACCCUGGUGAAAAAGCUUGGAGCAGAUGAUGUGAUUGAUUACAAAUCUGGAGAUGUAGCAGAGCAACUGAAAAUGUUACCAUUGUUUGAUUUCAUCCUAGAUAAUGUUGGUGGACCCACUGAAAAAUGGUCUCCAGAUUUCCUCAAGAAAUGGUCAGGAGCCACAUAUGUUACUUUGGUAACACCCUUUCUACUGAAUGUGGACAGGCUUGGAGUAGCUGAUGGCAUGCUACAAACAGGAGUCACGAUUGGAACCAAAACUGUAAAGCACCUCUGUAAAGGAAUCCAUUAUCGAUGGGCAUUUUUCACACCGAGCGGCCAAUCUUUGGAUGAGAUAGCAAAACUGGUUGAAUCAGGAAAGUGGUGAAAUGGAGAAGGGGGUGGGAGAGAAGGCCAUGGAAAGUGGGACUUGAGAGAUGCAGCAGGGAAAGAAAUGCAGACAUAAGAAAGGAGAGAAACAAAGGCAUGGAAGAGGGAGAGAAACAGAAAGGUGAUGGGGAAGGAAGAGAAACAAAAGGCAGAAAUAGCGGUGUUCCUAAAGAUCCAUCCAGUUGUUGAGCAAGUCUUCUCUUUUUCUGAAGUUCCAAAGGCCUUUCUGAAGCUAGAAGGAGGACGUGCACGGGGGAAAACAGUGAUCAAUGUAAUUAAUAAAAAAUAACAUCUACAGCCA
Molecule: RNA transcript, 1845 nt
Organism: Chrysemys picta bellii (western painted turtle)
Lineage: Eukaryota; Metazoa; Chordata; Testudines; Emydidae
Gene: RTN4IP1
Gene name: reticulon 4 interacting protein 1
Source: RefSeq, a predicted model, not a curated record